UACGUAGGGGGCAAGCGUUGUCCGGAAUCAUUGGGCGUAAAGAGCGUGUAGGCGGCCCGGUAAGUCCGCUGUGAAAGUCGGGGGCUCAACCCUCGGAUGCCGGUGGAUACUGUCGGGCUUGAGUACGGAAGAGGCGAGUGGAAUUCCUGGUGUAGCGGUGAAAUGCGCAGAUAUCAGGAGGAACACCAAUUGCGAAGGCAGCUCGCUGGGACGUUACUGACGCUGAGGAGCGAAAGCAUGGGGAGCGAACAGG
RNAcentral lists this ribosomal RNA (253 nucleotides) under uncultured bacterium. RNAcentral's name for it is "partial 16S ribosomal RNA". It matches the Rfam family "Bacterial small subunit ribosomal RNA", at positions 524 to 776 of the family's 1533-position model. The record is from RNAcentral.